RNAcentral lists this ribosomal RNA (253 nucleotides) under uncultured bacterium. RNAcentral's name for it is "partial 16S ribosomal RNA". It matches the Rfam family "Bacterial small subunit ribosomal RNA", at positions 524 to 776 of the family's 1533-position model. The record is from RNAcentral.
UACGGAGGGUGCGAGCGUUGUCCGGAAUCAUUGGGCGUAAAGGGCGCGUAGGCGGCUUCUCAAGCGUGCGGUGAAAGUCAGGGGCUCAACCCCUGAUCGGCCGUGCGAACUGGGGGGCUGGAGCACUGUAGAGGCAGGCGGAAUUCCGGGUGUAGCGGGGGAAUGCGUAGAGAUCCGGAAGAACACCGGUGGCGAAGGCGGCCUGCUGGGCAGUGGCUGACGCUGAGGCGCGACAGCGUGGGGAGCAAACAGG